AUAAGGCUAUUUUUCUAAUUAAGUUCUAUUUUGAUUUUCCAUUCCCCAUUCUUCCUGCCCCACAAUUCAUCUAUAUUCUUUUCCCAAAUUCAUUCUCUUCCUAAUUACAGAGGCAUCUCAGAGACAGAAACGUUCAACUUCAGUUGCUGCUUCUAAUCCUCGAAAACCCUAGCCAAAUUUUAGGGCUAUGGUAGUUUAAUCUCUGCUAUCGAGCUCUGGCUUCUUCAAAACCUUCACUGACUAUUCAAGUUGGAACAUUUUAAGCCAUUGUAGCUGCAGAGCUGGCUUUGGUAUUGACAGUAGUGAAUAGUGAAGAAGACUUUAUGUGGGCGUUGAUUCAACUGGUCAUCUAUACAUUCUUUACUUCCUUAUUUUCCUUAAUCUAGAAGCAGAAAGAUCCAUUGAUGGUAGAUUGUAGUUUUGUAAGAUUUAUUCCAAGAUAUCGACGAUCUUACCACACUCAAGGAUGCUUCAGUUGCUGAGUGUAGAGAAAGCAAUAAUAAGCAUUUGACCUUCAGUAUGAAUGUGCAGGAUCAAGAGGUUGCUGCUGGUUAGUUUUCUAUGGGAGCAUGAUGAGUAAAGCAAACAGUAGCGAUGAGUGAAGGUGGAAAAGAAAACUGGUAGUUAAACUAGUUAGUAUGAUCUAAAAUCUACCGGAGCACCUGAAUAUUUUCAUCUGGAUCUGCACCUUAUCUCAUAUACGGCAACAGUAGUAUGGAAAGGCAAAACAACAAUUAGGGAACUUAAGACCCAAAAACCUUCAGAAGUUUUUGAUGAUCUGAACAAGGAAAUCUCACAUGUUGCUUAGAUUAAUAGGGUGGUCAAGCUGCCGAAAAUGGAUCAGUUGCAAAAUUAGGAGAUUGAUGUGAAGGGUGCUAAGGCCCAAGGGGAUAACAAAUUGGGUUUCUACCGUAUACUACCUUUAGUACUAUAAUAUGUUUUAAAGUGUUAUUCAUGAUAGAGUACAUCAGAUAUUGUAUAAUUCAUUUCCAGUAGUCGACCUUUAAGAGAUUGCUUUAUUAGUUAAUGUAGUACUUGAUACAUAUUUCUUUUUCAAAGUUCAUUGUAAGUGUA
Long non-coding RNA from Nicotiana tabacum (common tobacco), 1074 nucleotides. RefSeq lists it as uncharacterized. Lineage: Eukaryota; Viridiplantae; Streptophyta; Magnoliopsida; Solanales; Solanaceae. The record is from RefSeq and is a predicted model, not a curated record.